This is a long non-coding RNA of Astatotilapia calliptera (eastern happy), 593 nucleotides long. The record is from Ensembl. Lineage: Eukaryota; Metazoa; Chordata; Actinopteri; Cichliformes; Cichlidae.
UAUUAAACCGCAGAAAACACAGCGUGCCCCUAUUAUUAAAAAGCAACACGAGGUUGUUGCACCUUAUGCACCACGCAUGUUAGAGACGUGGGACAUAAACACAAAUAAAAAUGUACUUCCACCCCUACCUCCUCUUCCUAUUAAACCGCAGAAAACACAGCGUGCCCCUAUUAUUAAAAAGCAACACGAGGUUGUUGCACCUUAUGCACCACGCAUGUUAGAGACGUGGAAAUAUUAACAGCAGUAAAAUAUAAAUAACACCCCCCCCCCCCCCCCCCCCCCAACCGGUUGCAGCAGAUAGCCGCCCCUCCCUGAGCCUGGAUCUGCUGGAGGUUUCUUCCUGUUAAAAGGGAGUUUUUCCUUCCCACUGUCGCCAUGUGCUUGCUCAUAGGGGGUCAUUUGAUUGUUGGGGUUUUUUUUUUUUCACAACAACAGUUGUGAAAAUAUUCACAACUGUUGUUGUGAAAAUAUAACUGUUGUUGUGAAAAUAUUCACAACAACAGUUAUAUUGCAAAGUCUUCACCAUCCAUCAGCCAUUACAAUACAAAUAAUAAAAAUCUUGAAAUACAUAAAAAUGUUGAUGUUUGAUUUUG